This 322-nucleotide ribosomal RNA is filed under the name uncultured eukaryote. Its description in RNAcentral is "partial 18S ribosomal RNA". It matches the Rfam family "Eukaryotic small subunit ribosomal RNA", at positions 1470 to 1796 of the family's 1831-position model. The record is from RNAcentral.
CCCUUAGAUGUUCUGGGCCGCACGCGUGCUACACUGAGUAAAUCAAUGGGUAAGGGAACACGAAAGUGCAACCUAAUCUUGAAAUUUGCUCGUGAUGGGGAUCGACGGUUGCAAUUUUCCGUCGUGAACGAGGAAUACCUUGUAGGCGCGUGUCAUCAUCACGCGCCGAAUACGUCCCUGCCCUUUGUACGCACCGCCCGUCGCUCCUACCGAUUGAGUGAUCCGGUGAGGCUCUGGGACCUGGACGGAAAGAGCGUUUCGCUUGUUCUGUUUGGGAAACUUGGUCGAACCUUAUCAUUUAGAGGAAGGAGAAGUCGUAACA